UGGGGAAUAUUGGACAAUGGGCGCAAGCCUGAUCCAGCCAUACCGCGUGAGUGAAGAAGGCCCUCGGGUUGUAAAGCUCUUUUGUUGGGAAAGAAAUCCUGUUGAUUAAUACUUGACAGGGAUGACGGUACCCAAAGAAUAAGCACCGGCUAACUUCGUGCCAGCAGCCGCGGUAAUACGAAGGGUGCAAGCGUUACUCGGAAUUACUGGGCGUAAAGCGUGCGUAGGUGGUUGUUUAAGUCUGUCGUGAAAGCCCUGGGCUCAACCUGGGAAUUGCGAUGGAUACUGGGCAACUAGAGUGUGGUAGAGGGUGGCGGAAUUCCCGGUGUAGCAGUGAAAUGCGUAGAGAUCGGGAGGAACAUCCGUGGCGAAGGCGGCCACCUGGGCCAACACUGACACUGAGGCACGAAAGCGUGGGGAGCAAACA
Molecule: ribosomal RNA, 427 nt
Filed under: uncultured prokaryote
Description: bacterial SSU rRNA
Rfam family: Bacterial small subunit ribosomal RNA
Source: RNAcentral